UCCCCUCCCGAAUUCCUUGCGGUGAGCUUCUCUCCUCUAUCUUUCCCCGGCGACCACUGAAGUCGAUUUUGGCGAGGAUCCCUCUUGCCUCCCCUUGGAUAGGGUAUUUCUCCCUCUAGAUCUGGCGUGUAGGCCAUCAGAGAGACGAUAGCAGGGAUUGCUGCCAUGGCCAAGUUUGUUUUCUACAGUCCUAAACUUCCAACGAGAGUCUCUUUCUUCCGUGCUGCAAAUGGAGGCUACUAGCGACAGGACCGCCAUGGGUAGGCCUGGGAAUUACAGGCGUGGAGGAUUUCUGGGCAAGCCACUCGUUCCUGGGCGUGCCUGUGCCACUGCCGAUGUGGAUUUAGCCUUGCUGAAAUUACUGAGCUCUAUCCCCCAGGUAAUUAGAGCAGCAUGACCAACCAUUGCCAAAUUCCUUCCUAAGUGGAGAAGUUCCCAAUCCCUAAGAUCAAGGAAUGAAGAUAAGCUUUUCCACUUUGUUGUAUCAAGUAAUUUAACUUCCCAGUUCACUCUAAAUUAUUGUGUAUUGGCAACCUGAAUUAUCUAUUUUACAAAAAAGCAUAUAUACACUUACACUUCUGUAGUUCUUUGAGAUCAAUGGAGCAAGAAGGGCAUGCAGUAUUGUCUUCUGUCGCUUGGAAAUACUAAUUGAAAAAAGAUAUGCAGCAUUAGUAAUAUCCUUCUCAUAUGUGGUCCGAGACUCCGAGGGAGACGCCCAGUAAUGAGUGCAGUGGUCCUUGUAGAUAGGUUUUUCAUGACUUCAACAUGCGCCUUCCAUCUCAUUACUAUGCGUUACCCCAAAAUCCUAUGAGUUCAUAUACGAGUUUUUAAUCUCUGCAAGUAAAUUUUGAUAUUGUGUAAGGUCUGUAUGAUUAGAAUCCCAUGGGAAACUGUGUAAUCUCUUGUAAGACAAUAUGCAUGAGUUUAGACUCAUAUACCUAACCUGCAUAAUUGCUGGAAAUAUUUUGAACAAGUUAUAUCUCAUUUUUAUCUUACUUAGUUUAGUUUUGCGGCGAGGCAAAUCCUACAUGACACUCAUAGUCGACUGGACACACCAUGUCGUGCACUGGCCCAACAUGGUCAGAGAUGAGACCGAACGGUCGAAGUGGAGCCGGAGACGAUGUGGCCAAAUCGUACUUUAGUGCAUUAUAUUGUCUCUUGGCAGUCUUAGUUUCCCCUCAGUAAAUGAUAUAUGGUGUUUAUGUUGAAUACUGUUUCAUUGUUUCGAGGCACACCCGUUAGAACAAAUUCUGUAAUUUAGUAAUGUUUAGGGCAUUAUGGUUGUGAGUAGUUAUCUCUUAGUUUAACGAAUACGUGUACUUUUGCCUUGUUGCCACCUGCGAAAUGAAAUAUUGCAGUUUAACACUUCUGUCAAAUUUUGCUUAGUAGUUCCCCUGUAGUUAUUUGAUUCUUAUUUGACCUGCAUCAUUGCAAGUAUUUAUUCUUAACAAUUUUCCUUUUUUGUCCGUUCAAUGGGAAGCCAGAAGAUGUUCUAUAUCCAAAAACAAUUGGACAAGGUAACACCAGUAAGCACAUCUACUUCAAGUUUUGUAUGAUGCUAUCUCACUUCUUUUAUACUCUUGGUGAUCAAAGGUAGUACCUUCAGCAGUGUUUGAGUAAAUGCUAUCAGUUUUGUCAAUAGUUGGAGAAGAUAUUAUCAUCAAGCGCGCGCACAGUCCUAUGCUAGGAAAGAGAACUGGGAUUGGAAUGGGAUGUCCCAAUUUCUUUGCCGUGGGGCCAUGGAAAUCUGAGUUCUUCCUCUUCUUUUGACACAUGAGACAUGCCUUGUUGAGCUCUUUUUUCAUGAACUGCAUCUUGGCCCCUCUGUGUGGCAAAGUAUUGUUUGGAAUCUGCUACAUUGUGGCCAUUUUGUGGCCACAUCAGAUGCUUCUCUUGAGAGGCUGGUGAUAAUUUUGGGUUGUCUCCUGAAAUCUGGUCAAAAACUUGCCUUCUCACAUGAAAAGGAAUACAUGAAGAUGUUCGCUGUUGAAAACCAUUUUUUAUUCGUCCCUAAA
Triticum dicoccoides is the source of this 2015-nucleotide long non-coding RNA. RefSeq lists it as uncharacterized. The transcript has 3 exons. The record is from RefSeq and is a predicted model, not a curated record. NCBI's taxonomy places the organism in Eukaryota, Viridiplantae, Streptophyta, Magnoliopsida, Poales, Poaceae.